This 260-nucleotide long non-coding RNA is filed under the name Malus domestica (apple). RNAcentral describes it as "long non-coding RNA (MDOM_LNC013361)". The record is from RNAcentral. Lineage: Eukaryota; Viridiplantae; Streptophyta; Magnoliopsida; Rosales; Rosaceae.
AAUGUUUUGUUUUUGAGUGCAUACAAGCAUGAUACCGCCUUUAAUUGUUAAUUGCAUGCUAUAUGAUGUUGCUCAAAUGAACAUGUUUUCCCAAAAGAUUUCCUUCAGUUCAACCACAAUCCUCAAAAGCUUCACUUACAAAAGCUUCACCCACAAAAGCUUCACCUACAAAAGCUUCACCUACAAAGCUUCAACACAAAAGCUUCACCUACAAAAGCUUCACCUACAAAAGCUUCACACACUCUUGAUCAAGACAGUGU